Molecule: long non-coding RNA, 523 nt
Filed under: Pan troglodytes (chimpanzee)
Lineage: Eukaryota; Metazoa; Chordata; Mammalia; Primates; Hominidae
Description: long non-coding RNA NONPTRT017032
Source: RNAcentral
UCUUACAGUUCUCAAGGGUAGAAGUCCAAAAUGCAUCUCGCUGGGCUAAAAUCAAUGUGUUUGCAAGACUGUGAUCCCUAUGGAGGCUCCAGGGAAGUAGCUUCCUUGCUUUUUCCAGCUCAUAUUGGCUUCUCAAUAUUUAUUGCUUGGUAAUGCUGUUACUCCAACCUCUGCUUUGAUCAUCAUAACUUCUGUGCCUCUGCUUCUCAUGCUUCCUUCUUUUACUUACAGAGACUCUUGUGAUUACACUGGGCUCUCCUGGAUAAAGCAGGCUUAUCUCCCCAUCUCAAGACCUUUAAUUUAAUCACACCUGCAAAGUUCUUUUUGCCAUGUAAGGUUGUGGAGAUUAGAACAUGAACAUCUUCAGGAUGUGGGCCAUUAUUCAGCCUACCCCAAGGACUAUGGACAGCUUGAUCUUUCAGUGACUGGAGCAGAUCCCUUGCUAUCACUCCCAUGUUCAAGUUCAUGUAGCAAGUCAUCCUCCCAGCCCAGGGCUUCUUCGCUUUACAGAGGAGGAAACAGA